Molecule: ribosomal RNA, 501 nt
Filed under: Merlinius joctus
Lineage: Eukaryota; Metazoa; Nematoda; Chromadorea; Rhabditida; Merliniidae
Description: SSU rRNA
Rfam family: Eukaryotic small subunit ribosomal RNA
Source: RNAcentral
CGCGAAUAGCUCAUUACAACAGCUAUAAUUUACUUGAUCUUGACUUCCUACUUGGAUAACUGUGGUAAUUCUAGAGCUAAUACAUGCACCAAAGCUCCGACCUUACGGGAAGAGCGCAUUUAUUCGAACAAAACCAAGCGGCUUCGGCCGUCCGCAGUUGACUCAGAAUAACUAAGCUGAUCGCAUGGUCUUGAACCGGCGACGUGUCUUUCAAGUAUCUGCCUUAUCAACUUUCGAUGGUAGUGUAUCUGACUACCAUAGUGGUGACGGGUAACGGAGGAUAAGGGUUCGACUCCGGAGAAGGGGCCUGAGAAAUGGCCACUACGUCUAAGGAUGGCAGCAGGCGCGCAAAUUACCCACUCUCAGAAUGAGGAGGUAGUGACGAGAAAUAACGAGACCGUUCUCUACGAGGCCGGUCAUCGGAAUGGGUACAAUUUAAACCCUUUAACGGGUAUCUAUGAGAGGGCAAGUCUGGUGCCAGCAGCCGCGGUAAUUCCAGCU